Molecule: ribosomal RNA, 252 nt
Filed under: uncultured bacterium
Lineage: Bacteria
Also listed under: 1 other name
Description: partial 16S ribosomal RNA
Rfam family: Bacterial small subunit ribosomal RNA
Source: RNAcentral
UACGUAGGGGGCAAGCGUUGUCCGGAAUUAUUGGGCGUAAAGCGCGCGCAGGCGGUUUUGUAAGUCAGGUGUUUAAGCUCGGGGCUCAACCCCGAUUCGCAUCUGAAACUGCAAGACUUGAGUGCAGAAGAGGAAAGUGGAAUUCCACGUGUAGCGGUGAAAUGCGUAGAGAUGUGGAGGAACACCAGUGGCGAAGGCGACUUUCUGGGCUGUAACUGACGCUGAGGCGCGAAAGCGUGGGGAGCAAACAGG